CUCAAGUGAGGAUUAACGACCCCUGCAGAGGUUCUGCAGUGAAAGGGACAAGGCUUUGGACGCAAGCGGCAGAGAUGGAGAUCUGGGGCACCUGCAUCGUCAGCAGUGGAGCUUCGCCAGGGCUGAAAGAAAUCGCCCGUGCGUUGGUCGAGGUUCCUGCCACCGAGCGUCGUCGGGCUGUAAACCUCUGUGUCCAGAUCUCCCGGCAGAAAGCGUCCGGCGCUGCCCUCAGCGGCAGGCAGUGAGUGCUCGCCCGGGGCCCCUCGACGCCGGGGGGCCGGCAGCAUUUUGCAGUCGUGGUGUGACCUGAAGGGAGUCUGAAGCAGCGUUUGAGCGACAAGCCCCUUCCGAAAACACGCUCGUCAAGUCGUCCCGCACAGCGUAUCUGAAUGGCCACGGCACGGGUGGCCUGGGCAAGAAACAAUAUUUGCAGAGAAGUAAAACUGUUUGGGAGUCAAAUUCCCCUUGACAGAAGCCAACUGAAACCUUGUGGUUUAACUCCGAGGCAGUACAAGAUGUGGAGCAGUUGGAUGCAGCCGCGGUUUCCAGCUGCAGGCAGCAGAGCCCGGACUGGUGGCACCACAAGCCUGGCUUCCCCUCUAGCGAUCGCAUUGCGUCCAGAGGCGGUUAACUCAUACUGCGUAGCCUUAUACGCCUUUGCGUGCCGUAAAGAACUGCUGAAGUGA
This 686-nucleotide long non-coding RNA is filed under the name Struthio camelus australis. RNAcentral's name for it is "lncRNA (ENSSCUG00000015309.1)". Lineage: Eukaryota; Metazoa; Chordata; Aves; Struthioniformes; Struthionidae. The record is from RNAcentral.